Long non-coding RNA from Manis pentadactyla (Chinese pangolin), 2887 nucleotides. RefSeq lists it as uncharacterized. The transcript has 3 exons. Lineage: Eukaryota; Metazoa; Chordata; Mammalia; Pholidota; Manidae. The record is from RefSeq and is a predicted model, not a curated record.
UCUCUCUCCAGCAGCCCGAAUCUUCUUCAGGACCCCUCAGUGCAGUGAAGGUGUGUCUGGCACCUGUCAGAAAGCAGGCACUGUGUGCUGAAGACACAAAGGUGAUACCUAGUCACCCCCCCCCCAGGAAUUGGGGUUCAGGACACACAAUGAACGAAUGAAUGUACCGCCUGUGGUUCUGAGCUUCUGGACCCAGCAGGGCAGCGUGGCCAUUCUCACCUCUGCGGAGGCGCCUGCCCAGCUCCUGAAGGGAAGAGGAAGUCUAUAUGAAGACUCACCACAUUUUCCCGAGUGGCUCUGAGGAGUCAUAAAAAUAGAAGUGGCAAUCCAAAGGGAGGCCCAGCGUAGAGUGGAAAGGGCAGGUGUUUUGCCAUCCCAGAGGUUUGGGUCCUGGCUCCACAGCCUGCUCUGCAUGACCUUGAGCAAGUCCAGACCCUUCUCACAGGGCUGGUGUGAAAACAAGAGGAGAUGCGGCGUCCGCUACCAGGCAGGCCUCUGCCCGAACAACACCCACUGCCUUUUCUGCCCUGUGUGGCUCCGGCCUGUCAGAGCAGCCUUCCUGUUGAGUGCCUUCAAGGAGAGGGCAGGCAGGCAGGCAGGGUGUGCCCACCACUCCGUCACCUGUGGAGCACCGAGGCGCGAGGUCUGCUGCCGGUCAGCUCUGGCCAGGAGCUCGAGGUGGGGAAGCCAGCCCUGGCUCUGCUCCCCCAGGCAGUGGGGGAGCUGGGGAGCAGCCGCAGAGCUCUGAGGGAAAUAAGCCCCACGCCACACGCACUGCCUUUCCGGAUAUGGAAAAGUAGUCCUCAUCCACCUGGCUCUUCAGACCUACUCAUGAUUCCCUCCCACUCUCAGCUGGAACCCUGGCUUUAAACUUCACUGACAUAAGAGAAGCCGUCAAGAGGGAACUCCCUCAUCUUCUCACCCACAUCCACUCUGCCUUGCGUCACACCUGCCCUCCGCCUCGUGAGAUGGAAGUGCCCCUGCUCCUGGCUGUGGCCAGCCCUUCCAUUUGUGCUCUGUAAUUCGCCUCUCCUGCGUAUUUCUUCUUCCCAUCCUACUGGGUCCUGCCCUUAAGCAAACAAUGCUGGCUGAUGCCCGUUUGAAAACCAAAAACCUGGUACCUGGGUCCCUCUAGACACCUCCAUUUCAAGGCAGUGCCUCUGAAUGAGCUGCCAACCGCCCGACUCCCCCUUCGCUUCCCACUGGCUGCCCACCCAACUCACUUCCCCUCUGCUGAAGGUGCCCCAGCUCACCCACGAUAACCUCUCCACCUGGCCUCAUCUUUCCACACUGGACAGCUGAUCCCUCCGUCCUUGCUGAAACAUUUCCUUCUUGUGGUUUCCGUGACACCAACCUCCCAGCCACCUACCUGUCACUUGCUCCGUCUCCUUUGCUGGGUCCUUCUCUGCUGGGUUUCUGAUUACCAGGACCUUCUCUUCUCAGGAAUCUCAUAAUUUGAAUAUAUCUAUAAUGCAAUAGCACCUAAAUUUGUUCUCAGGUAUGAAUUGCCCCUAAAACUCUUAUCAUCACAUACCAGAGUCUACUUGGUAUUUCCGUUUGAGGUCUGUCAUUUCUUUACCAGGCCAGACAAUUCUUGAGUAACCAUACUGCUCCUUCCCCCAGGGGCUUACUAUCUUAUUACACAGUUUCAUUUUCAGAAUUACACUUAUUUUGCUUAUUUAUCUGGUCUCCCUGAAACUAGUAAGCUCCAUUAUCUGCUUCUCCUGUUCAGUAUUGUUAAGACAGUGCUUGUCACACAGUGAGCCUUCACGUUUUGUUGAUUGACUGGGGCACAAGUCUUGGCAUAGCUGAUAUUCCAGGGCCGCUGACACUUGAGUAAAAGGAAGCUUCGUAACUUAAGGACAUGACACAUUGAGUUAGAUAAUCAUAAAGACCAUUUCCUAAAUUCCUACUCCCCUGGCUCCUGUUUUGGCUUCUAUCUGGAUGGAACGUGCCUGCGUUUCAUUGUUAACUACUUCCCAUCAAGCUCCCCUCGGGAUGUAUGAAAUGAAACACGGGGACCCCAGGGGAACUGCCCACCUUUGCUCGGGACUCUGAAAAGGCCCGUAGGUCCUGUGCUCACAGCGCGCCACCCCCGCUCAGGAGGGGGCUCCGGCCCCCAGCAGAGGGCGGCAGAGCAGCCCCAGCCCCGACUCACCCAAGACAAAAGCGGCGGCAGGGGAGGCUGGGGUGCACGCCUGCCAUUCAGCGGGGGAGGGGAAAGAUGACAGGGGGCAGGGCAGGAGAGCAACGACGGGAACCCAGACAACAGAUGGAGAUGACGAGCCUUGGAGGACGCGGCGUCUGGUCCUGGGCUCUGACUCAUUUCAACAUUGAGCACUGGGGCCUCUCUCGGAUGUGAGAUCUGAUCCAUCCCCGGGAGCUUCUAGUAUUAGAAAAGUCCACUAAAAGUAAACGUGGGGCCUAGGAUGCAUUUUAGCUUGUUGCUUUGAAUAACUAAAUUUACCCUUGAACUUAUGAUCGGCUAGAAUCAAAAUCUAAAGGAGAGAACUUGUUUUCGGUACAAUGCCUCCGACCCAUACUCAAAGCCAGCAACACGGGCAUAUGGUCCGCUCUUCUCCCGGAGGCAGGGGGCUGCCAAGGGCAGACGGACUUGGGGCUUCGCUGCGGAAGGAAUACAACCUCCAUCAUUCAAAAGAAGUCACCCUUGGUUGUGGCUGGCAAAGCUUCCAAGUAACUUCACAGGCCCGGCUGCUCCAAGUGGGGCAAUCUAACUAGAGAUAAAAAUAAGAGCAGUUCCCACUGAAAACAGGGGAGCUGGAGUCUGUGGAGGAAAUGGUUCUCAUGGCAACAGACUGCCCAAUGGUGAGCUGGAAGGCUUUCUACAAAAUCUCAUCAGUCUACACGCUGUCUAAAUGGAAAUGCU